RNA transcript from Nerophis ophidion (straightnose pipefish), 2133 nucleotides. It is a transcript of the gene named cytochrome b-c1 complex subunit 2, mitochondrial, with no coding region annotated. The record is from RefSeq and is a predicted model, not a curated record. Lineage: Eukaryota; Metazoa; Chordata; Actinopteri; Syngnathiformes; Syngnathidae. The transcript is spliced from 15 exons.
CCUGCCCGGCCUCCAACAUGUCUAUGCUUUCUAAUGUGCCACUGCGGUUGUCUGCAAGCCGCAGUGGAUUGUGGGUAAAUCGCCACCCCGCUAUAUUUGUCCUCCACCGGCUGCUGGAGUUUGCCGUCAUGAGAGGAAUUGGUUUCUUCAACAAGCUCUCUAAACGGGGCUAUGCUGCUGCCAGACGAAGUGAACCCUUGACUCAACCCUUGGAUGCUACCUGCAAGCCCUCCCCUUCACCACCGCUCCCUCCUCAACAUGUCCAGGUGUCCAAGCUCCCAAAUGGUCUGGUGAUAGUGUCCUUGGAGAACUACUCGCCCAUGUCCACUGUGGGGGUGUUUGUGAAAGCAGGGAGUCGCUAUGAGACCGUGGAAAACCAGGGUGUGUCUCAUGUGCUGCGGCUGGCUGCAAACCUGACUACUAAAGGUGGUUCUGCCUUCAAGAUCUGCCGCAGUGUGGAAGCUCUGGGAGGCAGUCUGAAUGUAACAUCAUCCAGGGAAGCUAUGGCCUACACUACAGACUGCUUAAGAGAUCACCUAGAUCAAAUAUUUGAGCAUUUGGUCAACGUGACCACGGCUCAGGAGUUCAGGCCUUGGGAAGUGGAGGACCUGACAUCCAGGGUGAAGAUUGACAGAGCUUUGGCUCAGCAGUCUCCUCAAAUAGGUUUGCUAGAGAAGUUGCAUGAAGUGGCGUACAAAAACGCCCUGUCCAACUCUUUGUACUGCCCCGACUACAUGAUUGGCCGUGUUUCUCCGGAACAACUGCGGUUAUUUGUCGAAGACCAUUUCACUUCUAGCAGGAUGGCUCUUGUCGGACUUGGUGUAACGCACUCUGUAAUGCGGCAACUGGGUGAGGGGCUCAUGAGUGUCCGCAGUGGGGCUGGAGCUCCUGAGACUACGGCAGUUUACCGUGGAGGGGAGCUUCGUAUGCAGAACAAUGACUCCCUGGUUCACGCGCUGGUUGUCAGCCAAGGUGGCGUGAUGGCCAGCGCAGAGGCGAACGCAUUUGUGGUGCUGCAAAGGAUCCUGGGAGCUGGGCCUUAUGUAAAGCGAGGUGGCAACGUUACCAGCAAGCUGAGUCGGGGUAUUGCUGAAGCAACCACACAGCCUUUUGAUGCCUCAACCUUCAAUACUUCAUACUCUGACUCCGGUCUGUUUGGGAUCUACACCAUCUCACAAGCUAAUGCUGCCGGAGACGUGAUCAAAGCUGCUCUUGCGCAAAUAAAAGGUGUGGCUGAGGGCAACGUGUCUGCAGCGGACAUCACCAGGGCAAAGACUCAGGCUAAAUGUGAAUAUCUGAUGUCAAUUGAGAGUUCUGCUUGUCUGAUGGAGGAGAUGGGUGUUCAAGCUCUGACAACCGCAGCGUACCAGCAUCCUGAGGCGCUUCUCCAGGCUGUUGACGCCAUCACCCAGGAGGAUGUGGUCAAGGCUGCAAAGAAAUUUGUGCAGGGUAAGAAGACCAUGGCCGCUAGUGGACAUCUCAUUAAUACACCUUUUGUGGAGGAGUUAUGAAAUGCCAACUAAAGCAGCAAUAAUCAUUUGAUGUGGGUAUACGCAACAAAGAAACAUCAAGGACCUUGAAGCCACAGGUUCAUGGGAACUAGAACAUACACAGUACCACUUAAACAUGUUACGCUUUCCAAGUACAGUGUCCACGCUUUUGCUACAUCUACUGACCGUCACAGACGAGCAUGAAGUACAGUACGUGGCUUGCACUUGCAGGUAAUAAUGAUGAAGUCUUCUAUAUGUACAUUCUGAAAAGGAGGGGCAUGGUGGCCUCACAAAGUCCACACAAACACGCUCAACACUCAAAAGUAUGGAUGGGUGCUAUAUCAUCCAAAAAGGUGUUCAAAGAUUCGGGUGAAACCCUUAGAGUGCACAAGCAACAAAGUGAAUGAACCCCACACAGCGGUGUCACUUACCAGGUGUCAGGCUGAAACAGCAGCUGCAAGAGAGGAAAAAAAGUAACCUGGUUAACACAUCAGACUAGAUCUGUACUAGUGGUGCAGAACAGUGAUUCUCAAAACUGCUACAAAUCACUUGAUUAAAGUUUUAUUUUCAAACACAGUGUUACUGUUCAAACUCAAAAAUUAUACAUAUACUCGCUAAAUAAAACCCGCCUUGUUUUGAAUGA